UGAGGAAUAUUGGUCAAUGGGCGAGAGCCUGAACCAGCCAAGUAGCGUGCAGGAUGACGGCCCUAUGGGUUGUAAACUGCUUUUAUAUGGGAAUAAAGUGAGGGACGUGUCCCUUAUUGCAUGUACCAUACGAAUAAGGACCGGCUAAUUCCGUGCCAGCAGCCGCGGUAAUACGGAAGGUCCAGGCGUUAUCCGGAUUUAUUGGGUUUAAAGGGAGCGUAGGCUGUUUGUUAAGCGUGUUGUGAAAUGUAGGAGCUCAACUUUUAGAUUGCAGCGCGAACUGGCAGACUUGAGUGCGCACAACGUAGGCAGAAUUCAUGGUGUAGCGGUGAAAUGCUUAGAUAUCAUGACGAACUCCGAUUGCGAAGGCAGCUUACGGGAGCGCAACUGACGCUAAAGCUCGAAGGUGCGGGUAUCGAACAGG
This 424-nucleotide ribosomal RNA is filed under the name Verrucomicrobiota bacterium. Its description in RNAcentral is "Verrucomicrobia bacterium partial 16S ribosomal RNA". It matches the Rfam family "Bacterial small subunit ribosomal RNA", at positions 355 to 776 of the family's 1533-position model. The record is from RNAcentral. Lineage: Bacteria; Pseudomonadati; Verrucomicrobiota.